UGUAGUAAUCAUGAUUUGUAUGUCCAAAGUGUCGGUGCUUCUGUGUAUUUAAUGGAUUUUUUAUUUACAUUUCAGACGAUGACGUAGAUGGCGAGAGAGUGGAUUGCAUACCCACAGAGAGUAUGAUCGGGUAUCUCUGACAAGUCUGACCAAAAGCUGUUAAAGUUCAGACUUCACACUCUGCUACAAGGAGGUCACCCUUAAUUUGGAAGCAGUCAAGCCAGAACAACAAACAUGUGUCCCAUACAAACCAGAGGUGGGAACCUACUUGCCACAGACUGCCUUGCAGAACCGGUCCAAAAGGAACAACAGUACCGCAACAACAUAAUGAGGAGUCUAUAUGAAAUGCAGUGUACAAUUUGUGCGAUGAGGUCGAUGCUAUGCAACCCUUUGCAGUCAACAAUUGCCACCGCUUCAGUGAAAACUUCACAUUUGGAUUUGUCACUGAAAAAAACCCACAUGGAUGAAAGAG
This is a long non-coding RNA of Micropterus dolomieu (smallmouth bass), 472 nucleotides long. RefSeq lists it as uncharacterized. The transcript has 3 exons. The record is from RefSeq and is a predicted model, not a curated record. Lineage: Eukaryota; Metazoa; Chordata; Actinopteri; Centrarchiformes; Centrarchidae.